GCCUGCAUAGCUCAGUGGUAGAGCAACUCACUUGUAAUGAGUAGGUCGGGAGUUCAAAUCUCUCUGCAGGCU
This 72-nucleotide transfer RNA is filed under the name Candidatus Pacearchaeota archaeon CG10_big_fil_rev_8_21_14_0_10_32_42. RNAcentral's name for it is "tRNA-Thr". It matches the Rfam family "tRNA". Rfam says of the family: Transfer RNA (tRNA) molecules are approximately 80 nucleotides in length. Their secondary structure includes four short double-helical elements and three loops (D, anti-codon, and T loops). The record is from RNAcentral. Lineage: Archaea; Nanobdellati.